RNAcentral lists this ribosomal RNA (425 nucleotides) under uncultured bacterium. RNAcentral's name for it is "partial 16S ribosomal RNA". It matches the Rfam family "Bacterial small subunit ribosomal RNA", at positions 359 to 776 of the family's 1533-position model. The record is from RNAcentral.
GAAUAUUGGACAAUGGGCGAAAGCCUGAUCCAGCCAUGCCGCGUGUGUGACGAAGGCCUUCGGACUGUAAACCACUUUAAGUCGGGAGGAAGGGCUGUAGAUUAAUACUCUGCAAUCUUGACGUUACCGACAGAAUAAGCACCGGCUAACUUCGUGCCAGCAGCCGCGGUAAUACGAAGGGUGCAAGCGUUAAUCGGAAUUACCGGGCGUAAAGCGCGCGUAGGUGGUUUGUUAAGUUGGAAGUGAAAGCCCCGGGCUCAACCUGGGAACUGCUUUCGAUACUGGCAAGCUAGAGUAUGGCAGAGGGAGGUAGAAUUUCCGGUGUAGCGGUGAAAUGCGUAGAGAUAGGAAGGAACACCAAUGGCGAAGGCAGCCACCUGGGAUAAUACUGACACUGAGGUGCGAAAGCGUGGGGAGCAAACAGG